This 497-nucleotide ribosomal RNA is filed under the name uncultured Elizabethkingia sp. RNAcentral describes it as "bacterial SSU rRNA". It matches the Rfam family "Bacterial small subunit ribosomal RNA", at positions 898 to 1398 of the family's 1533-position model. Lineage: Bacteria; Pseudomonadati; Bacteroidota; Flavobacteriia; Flavobacteriales; Weeksellaceae. The record is from RNAcentral.
AACUCAAAGGAAUUGGCGGGGGCCCGCACAAGCGGUGGAUUAUGUGGUUUAAUUCGAUGAUACGCGAGGAACCUUACCAAGACUCAAAUGGGAAAUGACAGAUUUAGAAAUAGAUCCUUCUUCGGACAUUUUUCAAGGUGCUGCAUGGUUGUCGUCAGCUCGUGCCGUGAGGUGUUAGGUUAAGUCCUGCAGCGAGCGCAACCCCUGUCACUAGUUGCUAACAUUAAGUUGAGGACUCUAGUGAGACUGCCUACGCAAACAGAGAGGAAGGUGGGGACGACGUCAAGUCAUCAUGGCCCUUACGUCCGGGGCUACACACGUGCUACAAUGGAUGGUACAGCGGGCAGCUACAUAGCAAUAUGAUGCUAAUCUCUAAAAGCCAUUCACAGUUCGGAUUGGGGUCUGCAACUCGACCCCAUGAAGUAGGAUUCGCUAGUAAUCGCGUAUCAGCAAUGACGCGGUGAAUACGUUCCCGGGCCUUGUACACACCGCCCGUC